CAGAGCACGAACGGGGCAGGGGCAGAGAGAGAGGGAGACACAGUAAUCGGAAGCAGGCUCCGGGCUCUGAGCCAUCAGCCCAGAGCCUGACGCGGGGCUCGAACUCACGGACCGCGAGAUCGUGACCUGAGCUGAAGUAGGCCGCUUAACCGACUGAGCCACCCAGGCGCCCCUGAACAGAACUCUUCAUGACAGUUUACAUCCUCUCUCGCACUGCUGGACUUUGUACGUGCAUUUCCUCAGCUUGGGAUGCCUUCUUCCUCCCUAUCCUCCUGGAUAACUUCCCACUUGAACCUGGAGACUCUACUCAAAGGUCGGACUUCUGGAAAUCUUCCCUUAUUCCCAGGGCAGGAACCCGGGGAGCGAGGCUGUGAUAAAGCAUUCUCGCCUUCCCACAACACACACCUCCGCCCUGGCCACCCUGCUACCGUGAUGUCUUAACCACAGCCCUCCUCGAAGACAGCAGUCCUCGAAGUUCGCGGACGUGCGUGUUGUCCAAGUUCCGGGAGAGGCUGCUGCUGCCGCCUCCGGGAUACGCUUUGAGAACCACCACUGUAUUGAGUGCCCAGUCAGUUUGGGUGCCCCUAGGUGCAGACACCGGGACGGAGCUAGCAUAGUAGGAGGCUGGCUGGGUCACGGUGCUUGCGGAAGAGGGAGAGGGAGAGCUUCAGCCACUGUGCAGGGCUGGCGACGUGAACCCAGCAGAGAGUUCCAGAGAAGAGCUGUCGCCUCACAGGAGCCCGACGUUGGACAGCCGCAGCCAGACCCGGGUUCCCGAGCCGGCUCGGACACAGGCUGGGAUUGCCUGGGAAAAACAUGGCCUUGGCUCAAAAGCCGAGGGGGACCCUGAAGGUGCCACAGCUGGAGGCUGUCAGCUCACUGCUGACCUUGCCCCCGCGGGACACGUCCUUCUUGAGGAGAGACUGAGGGCCCCUUCCGUGGCUGCCGCAGGCAUCUGCGCUGUGCCAGGCUCUGGGCGGAGCAUUUUCCUGGAUGAAUGCUGUUUCAGACCCAACCUGCUAACUCACGUGUAGCUGUCCCCACUUAAUAGAUGGGAAAAGUGAGGCACUGAAAGGUUAAGUGACCUACGUGCCCUGUAGCAGAGCCAGGAUUUGAACCCUUCUCACGCCAGAGGGUUCCUCCCUUGCAACUACCCUGGAAGCUGAAGAAUGUUGGCCUCUUUUACCGUUGGGGAGUCUCAAGUAUGGAGGGGUCAGUGACUUCCCUGGUCCCGCAAAUAAAGGAAGCAGGAGCUCUGGGAUUUGAACCGUGCUCUGACCCAUCUCGUCUAAUUUCAAGGGACCAUCUGCUGAAUGUUUCCAAGGGGACGUAAUAGCAGAAUCUGGGGCUGGAAGGAGCCUCCCUAACAAUCUGCCGGUGGGAACACUGAGGCCUAGCCAUGUGUCAGUGCUUUUCUGAGCCCUCAAAGGGGCCCCUGUUGUGUGCGGGGUCUAUCCACCCAUCAUCCAUGCAUUCAGAACACAAUGAUGGACACCUGUGGGUCAGCCCUCCAACCCACUUUUGGUGCCGUGGGGAGGCAGACAUGGUACAGGGGGGUCUGUGGAGACAUCGGGGCUGCACUGGGGAUUGGGCAAGGUGACAGACACAUUUAGAGGUGCGUUCCGGGAGGCUUCCUGGAGGAGGUGGCCUGAGAGGAGAAGAAGUGAGAAGGGCAUUCAAGGCAGAGGAAAGAGCAGAAGCAAGGCUUGCGGGUGGGAGAAUUCAUAUGACUUUGAGGGAAUUGAUCAGAAAUCAGCAAGUCUUGGGGCGCCUGGGUGGCUCAGUCGGUUAAGCGUCUGACUUCGGCUCAGGUUAUGAUCUCGCGGUCUGUGAGUUCGAGCCCCGCGUCGGGCUCUGUGCUGACAGCUCAGAGCCUGGAGCCUGUUUCUGAUUCUGUGUCUCCCUCUCUCUCUGACCCUCCCCCGUUCAUGCUCUGUCUC
This is a long non-coding RNA of Acinonyx jubatus (cheetah), 1940 nucleotides long. RefSeq lists it as uncharacterized. The record is from RefSeq and is a predicted model, not a curated record. The transcript is spliced from 2 exons. Lineage: Eukaryota; Metazoa; Chordata; Mammalia; Carnivora; Felidae.